AUGCUUGCUUCGGCAGCAUCUGUACUAAAAUUGGAAUGACACGAAGACUGGCAUGGCCCCUGCGCAAGGAUGACAUGCAAAUUAGUGAAGCUUUCUGCAUUUAA
RNAcentral lists this small nuclear RNA (104 nucleotides) under Dasypus novemcinctus (nine-banded armadillo). The record is from RNAcentral. Lineage: Eukaryota; Metazoa; Chordata; Mammalia; Cingulata; Dasypodidae.